This 24-nucleotide non-coding RNA is filed under the name Arabidopsis thaliana (thale cress). Lineage: Eukaryota; Viridiplantae; Streptophyta; Magnoliopsida; Brassicales; Brassicaceae. The record is from RNAcentral.
CCUCCAUAGCCGGAUUGGUGGAUA